CCUCCAAGGCUAAAUACUCCUGACUGACCGAUAGUGAACCAGUACCGUGAGGGAAAGGCGAAAAGAACCCCGGCGAGGGGAGUGAAAAAGAACCUGAAACCGUGUACGUACAAGCAGUGGGAGCACCUUCGGGUGUGACUGCGUACCUUUUGUAUAAUGGGUCAGCGACUUAUAUUCUGUAGCAAGGUUAACCGUAUAGGGGAGCCGGAGGGAAACCGAGUCUUAAUUGGGCGUUAAGUUGCAGGGUAUAGACCCGAAACC
RNAcentral lists this ribosomal RNA (261 nucleotides) under Salmonella enterica subsp. enterica serovar Braenderup. RNAcentral describes it as "partial 23S ribosomal RNA". It matches the Rfam family "Bacterial large subunit ribosomal RNA", at positions 457 to 722 of the family's 2925-position model. Lineage: Bacteria; Pseudomonadati; Pseudomonadota; Gammaproteobacteria; Enterobacterales; Enterobacteriaceae. The record is from RNAcentral.